CACGGUAAACGAUGGAUGCCCGCUGUUUGCGAUAUACUGUGAGCGGCCAAGAGAAAUCGUUAAGCAUCCCACCUGGGGAGUACGCCGGCAACGGUGAAACUCAAAGGAAUUGACGGGGGCCCGCACAAGCGGAGGAACAUGUGGUUUAAUUCGAUGAUACGCGAGGAACCUUACCCGGGCUUGAAUUGCAGAUGACGGAUCUAGAGAUAGUGACUUCCUUCGGGACAUCUGUGAAGGUGCUGCAUGGUUGUCGUCAGCUCGUGCCGUGAGGUGUCGGCUUAAGUGCCAUAACGAGCGCAACCCUUCUCUUCAGUUGCCAUCAGGUUAAGCUGGGCACUCUGGAGACACUGCCACCGUAAGGUGUGAGGAAGGUGGGGAUGACGUCAAAUCAGCACGGCCCUUACGUCCGGGGCUACACACGUGUUACAAUGGCCGGUACAGAAAGUCGGAUGCCCGUAAGGUCAUUCUAAUCAAGAAAGCCGGUCCCAGUUCGGACUGAGGUCUGCAACCCGACC
Molecule: ribosomal RNA, 515 nt
Filed under: uncultured bacterium
Lineage: Bacteria
Description: bacterial SSU rRNA
Rfam family: Bacterial small subunit ribosomal RNA
Source: RNAcentral